RNAcentral lists this ribosomal RNA (468 nucleotides) under uncultured bacterium. RNAcentral's name for it is "partial 16S ribosomal RNA". It matches the Rfam family "Bacterial small subunit ribosomal RNA", at positions 28 to 507 of the family's 1533-position model. The record is from RNAcentral.
GACGAACGCUGGCGGCGUGCUUAACACAUGCAAGUCGAACGGAAAGGCCCUGCUUUUGUGGGGUGCCCGAGUGGCGAACGGGUGAGUAACACGUGAGUAACCUGCCCUUGACUUUGGGAUAACUUCAGGAAACUGGGGCUAAUACCGGAUAGGAGCUCCUGCUGCAUGGUGGGGGUUGGAAAGUUUCGGCGGUUGGGGAUGGACUCGCGGCUUAUCAGCUUGUUGGUGGGGUAGUGGCUUACCAAGGCUUUGACGGGUAGCCGGCCUGAGGGGGUGACCGGCCACAUUGGGACUGAGAUACGGCCCAGACUCCUACGGGAGGCAGCAGUGGGGAAUAUUGCACAAUGGGCGGAAGCCUGAUGCAGCAACGCCGCGUGCGGGAUGACGGCCUUCGGGUUGUAAACCGCUUUCGCCUGUGACGAAGCGUGAGUGACGGUAAUGGGUAAAGAAGCACCGGCUAACUACGUG